Molecule: ribosomal RNA, 384 nt
Filed under: uncultured bacterium
Lineage: Bacteria
Description: bacterial SSU rRNA
Rfam family: Bacterial small subunit ribosomal RNA
Source: RNAcentral
AUUGAACGCUGGCGGCAUGCCUUACACAUGCAAGUCGAACGGCAGCGGACCUUCGGGUGCCGGCGAGUGGCGAACGGGUGAGUAAUAUAUCGGAACGUACCUUUCAGUGGGGGAUAACGUAGCGAAAGUUACGCUAAUACCGCAUAUUCUGUGAGCAGGAAAGCAGGGGAUCGCAAGACCUCGCGCGAUUGGAGCGGCCGAUAUCGGAUUAGCUAGUUGGUGGGGUAAAGGCUCACCAAGGCGACGAUCCGUAGCGGGUCUGAGAGGACGACCCGCCACACUGGAACUGAGACACGGUCCAGACUCCUACGGGAGGCAGCAGUGGGGAAUUUUGGACAAUGGGGGCAACCCUGAUCCAGCCAUUCCGCGUGAGUGAAGAAGGCC